GGCGGCAGGCUUAACACAUGCAAGUCGAACGCCCCUUCACGGGGGAGUGGCAGACGGGUGAGUAACACGUGGGAACAUACCCUUCGGUUCGGAGCAACGUCUGGAAACGGACGCUAAUACCGGAUACGGCCUUUUGGGCGAAAGAUUGAUCGCCGAAGGAUUGGCCCGCGUUCGAUUAGCUGGAUGGCGGGGUAACGGCCCACCAUGGCGACGAUCGAUAGCUGGUCUGAGAGGAUGGCCAGCCACAUUGGGACUGAGACACGGCCCAAACUCCUACGGGAGGCAGCAGUGGGGAAUAUUGGACAAUGGGCGCAAGCCUGAUCCAGCCAUGCCGCGUGAGUGAUGACGGCCUUAGGGUUGUAAAGCUCUUUCGCACGCGACGAUAAUGACGGUAGCGUGAGAAGAAGCCCCGGCUAACUUCGUGCCAGCAGCCGCGGUAAUACGAAGGGGGCUAACGUUGUUCGGAAUCACUGGGCGUAAAGGGUGCGUAGGCGGGCAUUUAAGUCAGGGGUGAAAUCCCGAGGCUCAACCUCGGAACUGCCCUUGAUACUGGGUGUCUUGAGUCCGGAAGAGGUGAGUGGAACUGCGAGUGUAGAGGUGAAAUUCGUAGAUAUUCGCAAGAACACCGG
This 629-nucleotide ribosomal RNA is filed under the name uncultured bacterium. Its description in RNAcentral is "bacterial SSU rRNA". It matches the Rfam family "Bacterial small subunit ribosomal RNA", at positions 38 to 712 of the family's 1533-position model. The record is from RNAcentral.